RNAcentral lists this ribosomal RNA (447 nucleotides) under uncultured bacterium. RNAcentral describes it as "partial 16S ribosomal RNA". It matches the Rfam family "Bacterial small subunit ribosomal RNA", at positions 330 to 793 of the family's 1533-position model. The record is from RNAcentral.
GCCAGACUCCUACGGGAGGCAGCAGUGGGGGAUAUUGCACAAUGGGGGGAACCCUGAUGCAGCGACGCCGCGUGGGUGAAGGAGUAUUUCGGUAUGUAAAGCCCUAUCGGCAGGGAAGAAGCAAGACGGUACCUGACUAAGAAGCCCCGGCUAACUACGUGCCAGCAGCCGCGGUAAUACGUAUGGUGCAAGCGUUAUCCGGAUUUACUGGGCGUAAAGGGAGCGCAGGCGGCGCGCCAAGUCUGAUGUGAAACCCCGGGGCUCAACCCCGGGCAUGCAUUGGAAACUGGCGGGCUGGAGUGCCGGAGAGGUAAGCGGAAUUCCUAGUGUAGCGGUGAAAUGCGUAGAUAUCAGGAGGAACACCGGUGGCGAAGGCGGCCUGCUGGACUGCGACUGACGUUGAGGCCCGAAAGCGUGGGGAGCAAACAGGAUUAGAUACCCCGGUAA